GCCGAGGUGGUGGAAUUGGUAGACACAAGGGACUUAAAAUCCCUCGGGAGUUAAAUCCCGUGCCGGUUCAAGUCCGGCCCUCGGUACCA
This 89-nucleotide transfer RNA is filed under the name Calditrichota bacterium. Its description in RNAcentral is "Calditrichaeota bacterium (activated sludge metagenome) tRNA-Leu". It matches the Rfam family "tRNA". Rfam says of the family: Transfer RNA (tRNA) molecules are approximately 80 nucleotides in length. Lineage: Bacteria; Pseudomonadati; Calditrichota. RNAcentral also lists the same sequence under 1 other name. The record is from RNAcentral.